This 430-nucleotide ribosomal RNA is filed under the name uncultured bacterium. Its description in RNAcentral is "bacterial SSU rRNA". It matches the Rfam family "Bacterial small subunit ribosomal RNA", at positions 355 to 776 of the family's 1533-position model. The record is from RNAcentral.
UGGGGAAUUUUGGGCAAUGGGCGCAAGCCUGACCCAGCGACACUGCGUGGGUGAUGACGGUCUUUGGAUUGUAAAACCCUUUUAUGGAGGAGUAAGGCGGGAAGGAGGAAAUGCCUUUCCGUUUGACAGUACUCCAUGAAUAAGCCCCAGCCAACUACGUGCCAGCAGCUGCGGUAAUACGUAGGGGGCAAGCGUUGUCCGGAAUUACUGGGUGUAAAGGGUGUGCAGGCGUCUCCCUAAGUUGAUUGUGAAAGCCCGAAGCUCAACUUCGGAACGGCAGUCAAUACUGGGGGGAUGGAGGUUAUGGGAGGGAAGUGGAAUUCUCGGUGUAGCGGUGAAAUGCGUAGAUAUCGAGAGGAACACCGGUGGCGAAGGCGGCUUCCUAUCAUAGACCUGACGCUCAUACACGAAAGCUAGGGGAGCAAACAGG